This 77-nucleotide transfer RNA is filed under the name Rickettsiales bacterium. RNAcentral describes it as "tRNA-Ala". It matches the Rfam family "tRNA". From Rfam's summary of the family: Transfer RNA (tRNA) molecules are approximately 80 nucleotides in length. Their secondary structure includes four short double-helical elements and three loops (D, anti-codon, and T loops). Lineage: Bacteria; Pseudomonadati; Pseudomonadota; Alphaproteobacteria; Rickettsiales. The record is from RNAcentral.
GGGGUUGUAGCUCAGUUGAUUAGAGCGCCUCGCUGGCAGCGAGGAGGUCGUGGGUUUGAGUCCCAUCAACUCCACCA